AGGAUUCCCCUAGUAAUGGCGAAUGAAGCGGGAACAGCUCAAAUUUGAAAUCUCCGUUGCUUGCAACGGCGAAUUGUAGUUUCGAGAAGCACUUUCUCGGCGGAUCCGGAGUCGUCCAAGUUGCUUGGAACAGCACGUCAUAGAGGGUGACAACCCCGUCUGUGGCGAGUCCGGCCGUUCACGAUGUGCUUUCAACGAGUCGGGUUGUUUGGGAAUGCAGCCCAAAAUGGGUGGUAAACUCCAUCUAAAGCUAAAUAUUGGCACGAGACCGAUAGCGAACAAGUACCGUGAGGGAAAGAUGAAAAGCACUUUGAAAAGAGAGUUAAAAAGUACGUGAAACCGUUAAAAGGGAAACGAAUGGGGUUAGCAAUGCUUUGUGCGAGAUUCAGCCGGCUGGUGGGGCAGGCGGGUGGUUUGCGGAUCUGAAUGGACCGCGGCCGCUCGGUUUGCCUUCCCGACCGUCGCACUUCUCGCCAGAGCGCGCCAACGUCGGUUGGGACUGGGUUUCAAAGGCGACGGAAAGGUAGGUUCGACCCUUCGGGGAAGAACUGUUAUAGUCCGCCGUUAGAUGGCCCGGGCCCGACCGAGGAGCUUGCGGUGCAUGCCGUAUGGCUAGGGUCCCGACGUUUCGGCUGGUUGUCGAAUGCGGUGGACUGCAUGCAGUGCGCUGCGACUGCUGCCGGUCGCGACGGCGGUGACUUCAUACUAUGCGCCCACGACGUUGGCGGUCAUAUGGCCUCAUCCGACCCGUCUUGAAACACGGACCAAGGAGUCUAACAUGUGUGCGAGUCUUUGAGUGAUUGAAACUGCGAGGCGUAAUGAAAGUGAAGGCGGCUUUUGUCGCUGAGGUGAGACCCUUCUCUCCGGGGGAGGUGCAUCAUCGACCGACCUAUUCUACUCUUAGAAAGGUUUGAGUAAGAGCGCAUCUGUUGGGACCCGAAAGAUGGUGAACUAUGCCUGAAUAGGGUGAAGCCAGAGGAAACUCUGGUGGAGGCUCGUAGCGAUUCUGACGUGCAAAUCGAUCGUCAAAUUUGGGUAUAGGGGCGAAAGACUAAUCGAACUGUCUAGUAGCUGGUUCCCUCCGAAGUUUCCCUCAGGAUAGCUGGAACUCAUGGCAGUUUUAUCAGGUAAAGCGAAUGAUUAGAGGUCUUAGGGUUAAAACAACCUUAACCUAUUCUCAAACUUUAAAUUGGUAAGAAGUCCGACUUGCUUAAUUGAAGCCGGACAGUGAAUGCGAGUUUCUAGUGGGCCAUUUUUGGUAAGCAGAACUGGCGAUGCGGGAUGAACCGAACGCGCGGUUAAGGUGCCAAAGUCGACGCUCAUCAGACCCCACAAAAGGUGUUGGUUGCUCUAGACAGCAGGACGGUGGCCAUGGAAGUUGGAAUCCGCUAAGGAGUGUGUAACAACUCACCUGCCGAAGCAACUAGCCCUGAAAAUGGAUGGCGCUCAAGCGUCGCACCUAUACCGUGCCGUUGGGGUAAAUGCGAAGCUCCAACGAGUAGGAGGGCGUGGGGGUCGUGACGCAGCCUUUGGCGUGAGCCUGGGUGAAACGGCCUCCAGUGCAGAUCUUGGUG
This 1574-nucleotide ribosomal RNA is filed under the name Edwardsia japonica. RNAcentral's name for it is "eukaryotic LSU rRNA". It matches the Rfam family "Eukaryotic large subunit ribosomal RNA", at positions 71 to 1456 of the family's 3401-position model. The record is from RNAcentral. Lineage: Eukaryota; Metazoa; Cnidaria; Anthozoa; Actiniaria; Edwardsiidae.